RNAcentral lists this unclassified non-coding RNA (332 nucleotides) under soil metagenome. RNAcentral's name for it is "partial contains 5.8S ribosomal RNA, internal transcribed spacer 2, and large subunit ribosomal RNA". The stretch from base 1 to 120 matches the Rfam family "5.8S ribosomal RNA", at positions 35 to 154 of the family's 154-position model. The record is from RNAcentral.
GAUGAAGAACGUAGCGAAAUGCGAUAAGUAAUGUGAAUUGCAGAAUUCAGUGAAUCAUCGAAUCUUUGAACGCACAUUGCGCCCGCUAGUAUUCUGGCGGGCAUGCCUGUUCGAGCGUCAUUUCAACCAUCAAGCCCUGUUUAGGCUUGUGUUGGGGCCCUGCGGUUGCCGCAGCCCCCUAAAUGCAGUGGCGGGCUCGUUGUCACUCCGAGCGCAGUAGCGUAUCUCGCUCUGGGCGUGGCGGCGGGUGCUAGCCGUGAGACACCCACUAAGGUUGACCUCGGAUCAGGUAGGAAUACCCGCUGAACUUAAGCAUAUCAAUAAGCGGAGGA